Molecule: non-coding RNA, 1017 nt
Organism: Gopherus evgoodei (Goodes thornscrub tortoise)
Lineage: Eukaryota; Metazoa; Chordata; Testudines; Testudinidae
Source: the annotation of a RefSeq genome assembly
AGCCCAAGGCUCAUGCUUCAGCGGUCUCGCCACAGCUGUCCGAGCUCCGCUGGGUCAGUGGCUGGACUGGAGAUAUUUGAGACCUUGCAAAUGAUUAAAUGUGUCUUCCUUGCGCUUGCCCUGGCGCCGUGCGCGCUUUCCCAGCUGCAGCUGGUGGCCUCCGGCCCUGGAGUGGGCAAAGUCUCCGACCCCCUCACCCUGAGCUGCGCUGUCUCCGGGUUCUCCAUCACUACUCAGUAUUACUACUGGUACUGGAUCCGGCAGCCCCCCGGGAAAGGCCUGGAGUGGAUGGGGUAUGUGUACCCGUAUAGCGGGAGCACAAGCUACGCCCCGUCUCUCCAAGGCCUAAUCACCAUCUCUGCAGACACGGCCAGGAACCAGUUUUCCCUGCAGCUCCGCUCCCUGAAAGCUGCAGACACAGGCACCUACUACUGCGCCAGAGGAGACAUGGUGACACAGAGACAGGGGGCCUGGGAUAAAAAGGGGGCGAGCCAAACGCUUCGCCUCCCGGAGAGAAAGCACCUGACUUUGCCCUUGUGGUCUGCUCCCUUCUGCGGUCACUUUUAGUUGAAGGAGACGCUUUUCCAGAGGCACUCACGAAGGUGGAGGGAAGCAGAAAAGAAGAAACAUCUGCACUUGUGAAUGUGCAGGAGAGAGACUUUGUUCCAGGAGUUUUGCAGAUUUGGAAACCACCAAUCUGGACCUGAGGUUGCAACAGACUCUCCUGUCCGCUCCACAGCUGAAUUGGGGAGUUGAGGUUCUGGGGUGGGGAGGCUCUCUGACAAAGGACUGGCAUUUCCUGGCUGCCCUAACUCUGGCCCAUGUGAGGGAGUGUGUGUGUAUGUGUGAGUUUUUCCGGGUGAGAUAGAGUAUUUCUGGGUUUCUGUAACCCACACACCUUCUGGAUGUGGUGUUUCCUCCCGUCUAGGGGCACCAAGACCACUUGAUUAAUGAGUCUGCUCUACAGCCCUCGCUAAGAGACACAUGAUUUUUGGCUCAUGGGGUAGAGGCUCAUAC